GAUGAACGCUGGCGGCGUGCCUAAUACAUGCAAGUCGAGCGAACAGACGAGGAGCUUGCUCCUCUGACGUUAGCGGCGGACGGGUGAGUAACACGUGGAUAACCUACCUAUAAGACUGGGAUAACUUCGGGAAACCGGAGCUAAUACCGGAUAAUAUAUUGAACCGCAUGGUUCAAUAGUGAAAGACGGUUUUGCUGUCACUUAUAGAUGGAUCCGCGCCGCAUUAGCUAGUUGGUAAGGUAACGGCUUACCAAGGCGACGAUGCGUAGCCGACCUGAGAGGGUGAUCGGCCACACUGGAACUGAGACACGGUCCAGACUCCUAUGGGAGGCAGCAGUAGGGAAUCUUCCGCAAUGGGCGAAAGCCUGACGGAGCAACGCCGCGUGAGUGAUGAAGGUCUUCGGAUCGUAAAACUCUGUUAUUAGGGAAGAACAAAUGUGUAAGUAACUAUGCACGUCUUGACGGUACCUAAUCAGAAAGCCACGGCUAACUACGUG
RNAcentral lists this ribosomal RNA (497 nucleotides) under uncultured bacterium. RNAcentral describes it as "partial 16S ribosomal RNA". It matches the Rfam family "Bacterial small subunit ribosomal RNA", at positions 28 to 507 of the family's 1533-position model. The record is from RNAcentral.